RNAcentral lists this ribosomal RNA (495 nucleotides) under uncultured bacterium. RNAcentral's name for it is "bacterial SSU rRNA". It matches the Rfam family "Bacterial small subunit ribosomal RNA", at positions 899 to 1397 of the family's 1533-position model. The record is from RNAcentral.
ACUCAAAUGAAUUGACGGGGACCCGCACAAGCAGUGGAGUAUGUUGUUUAAUUCGACGCAACGCGAAGAACCUUACCAGGGUUUGACAUCCUUGGAAUCGGGCAGAGAUGCCUGAGUGCCCUUCGGGGAACCAAGAGACAGGUGGUGCAUGGUUGUCGUCAGCUCGUGUCGUGAGAUGUUGGGUUAAGUCCCGCAACGAGCGCAACCCUUAUGGUUAGUUGCUACGCAAGAGCACUCUAGCCAGACUGCCGUUGACAAAACGGAGGAAGGUGGGGACGACGUCAAAUCAUCAUGCCCUUUAUAUCCUGGGCUACAAACGUACUACAAUGGCGGUCAUACAGAGGGAGGCAAAGCAGUGAUGUGGAGCGAAUCCCUAAAAGCCGCCUCAGUUCAGAUUGCAGGCUGCAACCCGCCUGCAUGAAGUCGGAAUUGCUAGUAAUCGCGGAUCAGCAUGCCGCGGUGAAUACGUUCCCGGGUCUUGCACACACCGCCCGU